This is a long non-coding RNA of Pyrus x bretschneideri (Chinese white pear), 1117 nucleotides long. RefSeq lists it as uncharacterized. The transcript has 2 exons. NCBI's taxonomy places the organism in Eukaryota, Viridiplantae, Streptophyta, Magnoliopsida, Rosales, Rosaceae. The record is from RefSeq and is a predicted model, not a curated record.
UAGAAAAACGGGUACCUGGACCGGUUCGUUUGUAAUUGCAAUGGACGGAUGAGAUUGAAGAUUAAGCUACCAUUCAAUCUGAACCGUAAGUUUUACGCUUGGUUCUCUCUCUUGUCUCAAGUCCUCAAUUCUGUCAAUGGAGACUGGACCUCGAACUCAUUCUCUCUCGCCAUCAAGCGUGCGUCGUCCCCUCCCCUCUGUUAAUCCCCGUCAAUCAUCUCCUCCUUUCCGUCACUCUCCGUCAGUCGUCCCCCAAAACCCUCAUCCAACGGUGGUCCAGCACCGGCUCGAGAGGGAGUUCCAACAAAUCUACCCAGAUAAUGCGAACCCAAGGAAGCUGGUUUCGAGGAUAAAGAAGAUUUAAGAAGAAUUGUCGACUUUGGAAGAUCAAUGUUGCGAACUUCUUUCAGCCAAAGAGACAAAUUUUUUAUUUUUUUGAUAAAAUUGGGAAACUUCAAUUUUUAAUUUUGAUUUUUGGGUUUUGGGUUUUGAGUUUUGAAGGAUUUGAUUGAUAAGGCUAGGACGACUCUGGUUGGGAACAGAAACCAAUUGCAUCAACUCCAAUGUAUUGGUGUGGGCAGGGUCCGUUUCGGGAGCGCCCAGUGGUACAAGUUCCGGGUUGGAUUCGGGAAGAUCCACGUCGGCGUCUUGUACUUUGACGACGUUGCUUCCUGUAAGAAGUUCAGGAAACCCAGGCAUCUGGGUUUUCAUUAAUCUGCAGCACUCCCUUGUGCAGGUUUGGCAGUUUAUAAUUCAGGCUGAUAUGAAACUCCAGUAUUUGUAAUGCAAUUUUCUGAACAUACACAUUCAGUUAAAUCUCCUGCUCCCCCUCUCCUUAUUUUCAAGUUUUGUUGCUUGCCAAAAUUGGCCGAAAAGGGGGGAAAUGUCUGAUUGCAUUCUUCUGUGAAUGGCUUUAACUGGAUUUUUUACUUUAACUAGUUUUAGAUUUUCAUGAUUCAUACACCCCUGUUUAUUGCUGGACCAAAAAUGGCUGUGAGGAAUGUAUUUCCCUUUAUUUUAAUCAAGAAGUUAUGCAAUCGUUGACCCCGAAAUUGUAUGCAUAUAGAUGUAGACAAGUGUUGUAUCAAAAUUAAAGUCGUUUGUUUUUAAUGUUGCA